This 252-nucleotide ribosomal RNA is filed under the name uncultured prokaryote. RNAcentral's name for it is "partial 16S ribosomal RNA". It matches the Rfam family "Bacterial small subunit ribosomal RNA", at positions 523 to 774 of the family's 1533-position model. The record is from RNAcentral.
AUACGAGAGGCCCAAACGUUAUUCGGAUUUACUGGGCUUAAAGAGUUCGUAGGCUGCGCAGAAAGUAGGGUGUGAAAGCCCUCGGCUCAACCGCGGAAUUGCGCCCUAAACUACUGUGCUUGAGGAAGCUAGAGGUGAGCGGAACUGAUGGUGGAGCGGUGAAAUGCGUUGAUAUCAUCAGGAACACCGGAGGCGAAGGCGGCUCACUGGGGCUUUCCUGACGCUGAGGAACGAAAGCCAGGGGAGCGAACG